UUCCCAACAAGUAGAGCAUAUAAUGUUAUUCAAUCCACCUUCACAACGACAUUUGGUAUCUUAAAGACAACUUGAAAGAAGGGCAACGAGAGAGAGAAGGUGAAAGGUCCAAAGAGACAGAUUACAACCUGGAGCACAAGGCAAUUCAGCAAGAAGAAAGAAGCAACAUCUCGUGUGCUGUAUUUUUCACGCUCUUGGUCAUUUCGCUCAUGAGUCUGCUAUGUCUGAAAAGAAUAACACGGUAGAAUCUACAUAGCCACA
This 261-nucleotide long non-coding RNA is filed under the name Salvia miltiorrhiza (redroot sage). RNAcentral describes it as "long non-coding RNA (SMIL_LNC014394)". The record is from RNAcentral. Lineage: Eukaryota; Viridiplantae; Streptophyta; Magnoliopsida; Lamiales; Lamiaceae.